This 253-nucleotide ribosomal RNA is filed under the name uncultured bacterium. RNAcentral describes it as "partial 16S ribosomal RNA". It matches the Rfam family "Bacterial small subunit ribosomal RNA", at positions 524 to 776 of the family's 1533-position model. The record is from RNAcentral.
UACGGAGGGUGCGAGCGUUAUCCGGAAUCACUGGGUUUAAAGGGUGCGUAGGCUGUUAGAUAAGUCAGUGGUGAAAGAUUUCCGCUUAACGGAAAAAUUGCCAUUGAUACUGUUUAACUUGAAUUGGGAUGAGGUUACUGGAAUGUGACAUGUAGCGGUGAAAUGCAUAGAUAUGUCAUAGAAUACCGAUUGCGAAGGCAGGUAACUGGCCCUUGAUUGACGCUGAGGCACGAAAGCGUGGGUAGCGAACAGG